CCAGACUCCUACGGGAGGCAGCAGUGGGGAAUAUUGGGCAAUGGGCGCAAGCCUGACCCAGCAACGCCGCGUGAAGGAAGAAGGCUUUCGGGUUGUAAACUUCUUUUAAGAGGGAAGAGCAGAAGACGGUACCUCUUGAAUAAGCCACGGCUAACUACGUGCCAGCAGCCGCGGUAAUACGUAGGUGGCAAGCGUUGUCCGGAUUUACUGGGUGUAAAGGGCGUGCAGCCGGGAGUGCAAGUCAGAUGUGAAAUCCCGCGGCUCAACCGCGGAACUGCAUUUGAAACUGUGCUUCUUGAGUGCUGGAGAGGCAGACGGAAUUCCUAGUGUAGCGGUGAAAUGCGUAGAUAUUAGGAGGAACACCAGUGGCGAAGGCGGUCUGCUGGACAGUAACUGACGGUGAGGCGCGAAAGCGUGGGGAGCAAACAGGAUUAGAUACCCCAGUA
This 446-nucleotide ribosomal RNA is filed under the name uncultured bacterium. Its description in RNAcentral is "bacterial SSU rRNA". It matches the Rfam family "Bacterial small subunit ribosomal RNA", at positions 331 to 792 of the family's 1533-position model. The record is from RNAcentral.